Molecule: ribosomal RNA, 119 nt
Organism: Pteropus vampyrus (large flying fox)
Lineage: Eukaryota; Metazoa; Chordata; Mammalia; Chiroptera; Pteropodidae
Source: Ensembl
AUCUACGGCCAUGCCACCCUGGACAAGCUUGAUCCCAUCUGAUCUUGGAAGCUAAGUAGGGACAGGCCUGGUUAGUACUUGGAUGGGAGACUACCUAGGAAGACCAGGUGUGGUAGGCA